GACGAACGCUGGCGGCGUGCCUAAUACAUGCAAGUUGAGCGCUGAAGGUUGGUACUUGUACCGACUGGAUGAGCAGCGAACGGGUGAGUAACGCGUGGGGAAUCUGCCUUUGAGCGGGGGACAAUAUUUGGAAACGAAUGCUAAUACCGCAUAAAAACUUUAAACACAAGUUUUAAGUUUGAAAGAUGCAAUUGCAUCACUCAAAGAUGAUCCCGCGUUGUAUUAGCUAGUUGGUGAGGUAAAGGCUCACCAAGGCGAUGAUACAUAGCCGACCUGAGAGGGUGAUCGGCCACAUUGGGACUGAGACACGGCCCAAACUCCUACGGGAGGCAGCAGUAGGGAAUCUUCGGCAAUGGACGAAAGUCUGACCGAGCAACGCCGCGUGAGUGAAGAAGGUUUUCGGAUCGUAAAACUCUGUUGGUAGAGAAGAACGUUGGUGAGAGUGGAAAGCUCAUCAAGUGACGGUAACUACCCAGAAAGGGACGGCUAACUACGUG
This 497-nucleotide ribosomal RNA is filed under the name uncultured bacterium. Its description in RNAcentral is "partial 16S ribosomal RNA". It matches the Rfam family "Bacterial small subunit ribosomal RNA", at positions 28 to 507 of the family's 1533-position model. The record is from RNAcentral.